RNAcentral lists this long non-coding RNA (1028 nucleotides) under Marmota monax (woodchuck). The record is from RNAcentral. Lineage: Eukaryota; Metazoa; Chordata; Mammalia; Rodentia; Sciuridae.
GUUCAAUUAGAACAUAAUUAAAGUGGCAUGCUAGAUUCUGACUUCUGCUGGUGUCAAAAAUAAUCUAAUAGAGUGUACUGUCACCUCUACAGCAGUUCCAAAGUCACACAGGCAUGUGUGACUAUGAUUCUUCCAUGCUCACCCCUAUAUCAUGGUGCUCAGCAGUCAGAUAUGCCAGAUUCAUCUCAGCUCACCUGGAAUAAGCCACAGCUUUGUGCCAGUUUCAAAGAUAGUCUUAAAUAUGACUUGCAGUAUUUUACUGAAUCCUGGCAGAAGGUGUUAUUACCUCCAUUUUUCAUAAGGGGUAGCUAAAGCUCAGGAAGAUUCUAUGAUAUGUCCAAAGCCAUAAAGUCACUCAUCCAACAAUUUCUGUAGCCUUGAAUGAGUUUCCUCACCUUUGAAAUUUGGAAUUUUGAUCUGAAAAGGAAUUUAUGCUUUCAUCACUGAUGCAUAUGUAGUUUGCCCUAAUAUGUACACAAACAUGCAUGUGCAUAUAUUUACAUGGAUGCCUGAAUGCAUAUGUGUGCAUGGCCACUCAAGGACAGUGAUCAACAGAAUAGAUGCUCAACAAUGUUUUGAAGUGUUGCCAUUUUGCUUUAGUUUUCAAAGUUCUCCAAAGUGUCUCACCUAGCUUCCCGCCUUUCUCAUGCCUAAUGACACAUUGACCUCCAUGAACUCUCUAUUUUUUUCUAUUAAGGUGCAAACAGAAGCAACACCAAUACUUGGUGACCCCAAAGACCAUAUGGUACUCAGUUCUCCCGUCUGUCUGUCUUGUUCUCACAGCACCAAUCCAGGGGACAAAGGCCUUAGGUGGAACUUGAAGAAGGUCAUUAGAGCUAUCUUGGAUGUCUGUUUUUCUGAUCUCCCACUAGUGGCUUGGUAAAAGGAACGGAGUUGGUUCAUGGUGGUUAAGAACAUAGAAUGAGAAGUUGGAAAAGUGUGAGUUUCUGUUCAGGCUCUGUCAAUAUUUGUAUAAAUUUAAGCAAGUUAAAGACUUACCCAAGCCUCAGUUUUAUCAUCUAUAAAAU